This 424-nucleotide ribosomal RNA is filed under the name uncultured bacterium. Its description in RNAcentral is "bacterial SSU rRNA". It matches the Rfam family "Bacterial small subunit ribosomal RNA", at positions 354 to 796 of the family's 1533-position model. The record is from RNAcentral.
GUGGGGAAUUUUGCGCAAUGGGCGAAAGCCUGACGCAGCAACGCCGCGUGCGGGAUGACGGCCUUCGGGUUGUAAACCGCUUUCAGUGGGAAAGAUAAUGACGGUACCCACACAAGAAGCUCCGGCUAAAUACGUGCCAGCAGCCGCGGUAAUACGUAUGGAGCAAGCGUUAUCCGGAUUUAUUGGGCGUAAAGCGCGCGUAGGCGGCUUGUUAAGCAAGGUCUUAAAUCUUGGGGCUCAACCUCAAGCCGGAUCUUGAACUGGCAGGCUCGAGUAUGGUAGAGGAAAGUGGAAUUCCCAGUGUAGCGGUGGAAUGCGCAGAUAUUGGGAAGAACACCGAUGGCGAAGGCAGCUUUCUGGGCCAUUACUGACGCUGAGGUGCGAAAGCUAGGGGAGCAAACAGGAUUAGAAACCCCAGUAGUCC